Molecule: ribosomal RNA, 495 nt
Filed under: uncultured bacterium
Lineage: Bacteria
Description: bacterial SSU rRNA
Rfam family: Bacterial small subunit ribosomal RNA
Source: RNAcentral
AUUGAACGCUGGCGGCAUGCCUUACACAUGCAAGUCGAACGGCAGCGGACCUUCGGGUGCCGGCGAGUGGCGAACGGGUGAGUAAUAUAUCGGAACGUACCUUUCAGUGGGGGAUAACGUAGCGAAAGUUACGCUAAUACCGCAUAUUCUGUGAGCAGGAAAGCAGGGGAUCGCAAGACCUUGCGCUGAUUGAGCGGCCGAUAUCAGAUUAGCUAGUUGGUGAGGUAAAGGCUCACCAAGGCUACGAUGCAUAGGGGGUCUGAGAGGAUGAUCCCCCANACUGGUACUGAGACACGGACCAGACUCCUACGGGAGGCAGUAGUAGGGAAUAUUGGGCAAUGGACGAAAGUCUGACCCAGCCACGCCGCGUGAAGGAUGAAUGCCCUCUGGGUUGUAAACUUCUUUUGUAUGGGAAGAAAAUUCCGAACGUGUUCGGAGCUGACGGUACCAUAAGAAUAAGCAUCGGCUAACUCCGUGCCAGCAGCCGCGGUAAAG